GGGAACUGUAGUCUUUCCACCUGUCUAGGAAGUGGAAAAGGAACUAGGAUUCGGAGUAUGUUUGGCUUUGGCUCCGCCCCAGCCUCCUGACGUUCAAGUCAUGUUUUCUGAGGAUCUCUGGAGCUGCCAUGUUGAGAACAGCAUGAAGGGGCUAACAGCAUAAGCUGGGAGAGACAGGAGGCUACUGCAGUAAUCCAGGCUAGAGGUGAUGGUGGCUUGGACCAGAAGGGGGUCGGAUUCUGGAUGUAUUCUGAAGGCAGAGUCGGCUGCAUUUACUGAUUGGAUAAGCAUGAGAGCUGGUCCUGCUACCAGGUGUCCUGGAAACCCAGAGGGUUGAUGGGGAGGCCAGGGAAGCACAACAAGAUGUUGCCCACAACCAUCCUGAGGUCUGAUCUGGAUGAGCAGUGCCUUCUCUACCACCUGCCAUCACAUGCAUGGAGAUCACAGACUUACCAUGUCUUGAUUGUAUAAAAAGUACAAGUGACUUCAGAUCUGAUGAAUCCUGAGUGGCGUGGAGGGACAAGGGAAUAUUGUAUCUGAAGAAGCCGGAUGGUUGGUUGUGUUCAGAUUGUAAAGGAAUUGCCAGAACUGGAGGAGCCUUUAGGGACCUUACAGUUGAAGCCCUUUGUUUCUGUGAGUGAGAGGAAAGGCCAUAUGAGGACACAGCAAGGAGGUGGUGGUCGCCUGCAAGCCAGGAAGAGAGCUCUCACCAGAAACUGACCAUGGUGGCACCCUGACCUUGGACUUAAGCAGCCAACAAAACUUUUUUUGCAGAUAAGCCGCCAGAAGAUCCUCCUCCCUCUGCUUGGAGUUACUUGCAGUGCUUUGGAAGCAGGACAUGGGUCCCAGUGAAAUACACCGUGCUGAAAACACUCUGGUCAAGUCUGGCCCUCGACACUACCCUCCACAUUCCAACAGCCACGUUGGCUCACCAGGAAGAGAAGCUGGAGGUGUUUUGACUGACUCAGUGCUGAAAUCAGGCUAGCAGAGACAGUGAUUAGAGAGAGAGCGCCUUUCGUUGGUGCUCUUGGGAGCACAGCAGCUGUGCUCACUAAGAAAGGUAGAAAUCAAAGAAUCUUAGAAUCCUCGGGGUGGAGGGGACAUUAAGGAGCCUCAGUUCAGACCUCCAUUCCGUGAAGGAAGCUGGCCAGAAAGCUGCCAGCUGGUUGGAUGAGAACUCCCUGCUCAUAAAGGCAGCCCAGUCCACGGCUUCGUUGGGUCCUGAUUAGAAUCUCUCAAGGCUGCACUUAACAUUCCUUUCUGGAGCUUGGGGUUUAUUUUAGUCAAUUCAGGUGCUGUAACAACAUACCAUAGACUGGGUGGCUUAUAAACAACAGAAAUUGAUUCCUCACAGUUCUGGAGGCUGGAAGGUCCAAUAUCAAGGUGCCAGCAGAUUCAGUAUCUCAUGAGAUCCCUCCUCCUGGUUCAUAGAUGCUGUAUUACCGCUAUGUCCUCACAUGGUGAAAGGGGUGAGGGAGCUCUCUGGGGUCUCUUUUAUAAGGGCACUAAUCCCAUUCAUGAGGGCUCCACGCUCAUGAACUAAUUACCUCCUAAAGGCUCCAACCCCAAUACCAUACCAUUGGGGAUUAAGAUUAUAACGUGAAUUUGGGGGUGGGGCAUUGCACGAUCCUCUCCCAAGAUCAUGUGCUUAUUGGCUGAAUCCAGUUCCUUGAAGUUGUAAGGCUGAAGUCCCUGCUUUCCUGCUGUCUGUCAGCCUGGGGCUGAUCUCAGGUCCUAGAAGCCACUACAAUUUCUUGCCAUGUGACCCUCUCACAACAUGGCAGCUCAUUUCUUGAAACCCAGCAGGGGAAAUUCUUGAUCCAGUCUGCUAAGAUGGAGUCUUAUAUAAUGUAAUGUGAUCGUGGAGUGACUAUCCCAUCACCCUUGCCAUAUUCUCUUGGCUAUAUGCAGGUCACAGAUUCCACUUGUACUCAAGAAGAGGGGGUUAUACGAAGACACGACUAAUUGAGGGUCACCUUAAUGUGUGUCUGCCACACAGAUACAUGAUUAAGGUUUACAUUUUUUUUUAAUAAGAAAGACUUUGGUAUAUCAUAUUCCAAAACAAAAUCUUUUGGGUAGCACUGAGUUUCAAACAUCAGAGUUAACAAAUUUUAAUUUCAGCAGGGCUAAGGAGCUUUAAGGUAGAAGUCAUAGUUAUAAGUCAUAGAUAUAGGAUAUAGAUGGAGAAGUCAGAGGUAUAAGACAUAAGAGUUCAGAACAAGUAAGAGCUGAGAUUGAUGGGCAAGUAGAAGAGGAUGGUGAUUUGGAUUUUCUCAAAUAGCUGUUCAGGUUCCUGACUGUAUCAGUUAUCUGCUGAUGUAUAACAAACUUCCCCAAACUUUGUGACCUAAAGUAGCCACCAAUUACUAUUGCUCCUGACUCUAUGCUUCAGCUGGGUCGUUCUGGUUUCAGCAGUCUUCCUCAUCUGCCCGCAAUCAGCUGAAGGUCACUAGGUGGAGGUUGGCUGGUGUUCCUUGGUUUUCUUCCACAUGGUCUCCCAUCCUCCAGCAGGCUAGCCUGGGCUUGUUCACGUAGCAGUCACGGGUUUCCCAAGGGAGAGCACAGGUGUGCAAGGGCUCCUGAGGUCUUGACUCGGAACUGGUAACCCAUUGCUCUCACCACAUUCCAUUGGCCUGAGCAGGUCAUGAGGCUGGUCAGAUAAAAAGCACCAGUGAAACAGGUUCCCUUCUUCUGAUGGGAAGAGCCUCAAAGUGAUGCCGGAAAGUGGCCAGAUUCAGGGAGGAGUGAAGAACUGGGGUGGCUAUUUUUGCAGUUGACUACGAUGACUCACGCAUAUGUGUGUGGUUAAAGUUGGCUGUCUAUGUAGGGAACAUGGGGCAGGAAGAAAAGCUAGAUAAUUGAAAAAAAUUAAGGUUGUACAACACCUCAUUAAAUAAAAGUUAAUUUGCUGAAAGUGUUAUCAAUGCUUCUCCUACAGUCUUCUCUAAAUCCCUGGAACCAAUCUGGGAAGGACAGAGAGACAUACAGUCAGGUUUCACCCACCCAAGCUUGCAUGAUGGCCUUUACAGGAUGCCUGUGAUGAGGGGAUUAGCCUCCAGGACACAGGUGCUCAUCGAAGUCUGGGGACUAGUACAGGCUGGUGGGGAGAUGAGAGACUCUUUUAAGUAGUCAGCAAGUUGAGACAGCAGGGCAGGAGAGGACCCAGAGAUUCAAACUCAGGGUUGGAAACUAGAUAAUUAGGUAAGAUGACGUUUGAAUAGGUCAAAGUCUGGAUUCUUGUAAACACCAAGUAACCACCAUAUUGUUUUUCCUAUAUGUGACCUGUAGCAUUUUGCUGUGCUGGGGACACCUGCUAAGGUUCCAGUGUGAUCCUAAAUAAUAACUUGGCAUCUCAGGACUUUUAAAAGGCAUAUUAAGUUCUUAAUAUAGUGCCUGGCCCAUAGCUCUCAACAAAUGAUUGCCAUUAUGCUAUUAUUACUAUUUUUGUUUAGCUACAAUUUUGCAUAUUGAAUUUUUUGGUUUUCACCCCUCUCUUUAUCAAGAUGCUCUGUCCCCGUGAGCACUGCUGUCAGUCAGGUGAGUGGGAACCCAGCUUGAGGAAACAGCUGGGAGGGGGUGGAAUGGAGGUGGCGGAAUACGAACACAUUCUGUAUCCUUCCUAAAAAUGGCUCUCAUGGGAGAAAAUUACUAAUCACUGCCAUUCUUCUGCAUCUGGUGUUAAUUAUUCCAGGUAAAGAACACUAAAAAUGGAGUGUUAAGUUCUUAAUUUAGAGUAUUUGGGUGUGGGGGGGUUGGAGUUAUUCAUUUUAUUAGUCACUAUCCAAGGCUUUGAAAAGAGAAGUUCUGAUGUUGAAGGAAAUAUAGAUCACUUGGGUUAUGAGGCUUUUCUUUUGAAUACCCUUGCCCUGGAUUUAGAAACAGGUGGGCCCUUGCAGGUUUUUUAGGUGUUUGGUGUGCUCUAAUAUGAGAGAGGAAUGAGGGUAAGUAACCAAGAUGAACUUCAUACUCACACGGACUAUUGCAGUCGCCUUCUAAUCAGUCUCCUGCUUCCACUCUAUUCCCCUCCAACCCUUUCUCCGUAUGGUUGCCAGAGUGGUUCUCUUAAAAUCAGAUGUUGACAUUUCAUCAAAAGCAGAUUUCCAUUACACUGGGUGAAAUCUCAUUUCUUACUUAGGACUUCAGAGCAUGGUCUUGUACUCACAUCUUCAAAUGCAUCUCUUGUCUCCUCUUUGUUGACUAAGCUCCAGCCAUAUUGGUUUCCUUUUAGCUUGUUUCUGCACCUGCAAUGCUUCCUCUCAUAAUUCCCUCCUUUUUAUCCCUUGGGUCUCAGCCUAAAUCAUCUUCCUAUAGAGGUUUUCCCUAAUCACCAUUUUAAAAGCAGAACCUCCUUAAGACAUAAGAACUUUUGUUCUUUUCAAUUCCUUGAUUAGUGACUCAUAACAUGAACAGCCCUACCUCCCCACAAACGCUUUAAAUUUCCCCAGCCAGUCGUUUUUCUCUCCUAAAUAGACAGUAGUGAUAUCAAUGGAUAAGUAUUUUAUUUGUUAAAUUGUACAGUGCCUUUCUAUCCCCCUCUCCUGUGGCCAGAGCUUCCUAUCAUGAACCAGGUUCUGCCAGGCCCAUCCAGUCAUAAGGUUGAGCAGGCCCAGGAAGAAUCAUCACACAGUGAGGGCGGGAUCAGGCUUGAGCAAGUUCAGGGAGCAGAAGUAAGUUACAUAAAGCCUGUGUCAUCUAUCGCUGACGCUGUCACGUGGAACCCAGGUCCAUGCUGCUGCUACGCAGGAUUUUGUGUUAGUGACUCAUUUCCUUUGUAAACUCCCAGAUUGUGAUGCUGUCCUGCAUCUUCUGGAUGAGAAAGGCACAUAUCCAGAGAGAUGGGAUUCCAUCGUAAGCGUCAGCGUAGUACUUGGCAAAUAGAAAUCACUUAGUAAAUCUUAGCUACACGGAUACUUUCUCCAUCACAUGUAACUAUCAAAAUGGCCCCCUGCCCUGGAGCAGGUAGAAUUGACUGACUCUAUCUGUCCUCCCUGUCGGUGGUUGUUAAUACGUUUUUCUGCUGAGAUUUUCCGACGGACGAUGCCAGAUAACAUAAUGGCGGAGUCGAUGGUUUAAAAUUGCCCACUGUAUUUCCAACAUAAGAAGCAGAGUGCUCCCGCAUGAAAAGGAGCCCACGGUGUGGAUCUCUUUUUCUUUUGUCUGCUCCAGAGUCACUACUGAUGGGCUGCAGCCUGGAUGUGGUUGAUCAGGUGUGGAAUGAUAGAAAGAUAAGAUCUUGUGAAGGGGAUUUAUGGUUGUUAAAUUAAUUGAAAUACUUCAGGAUCUACAAAUUCAUAUUCAGAGUCCAAACUAUUCGGAAAAUAUAUGAAAAUCAGUGAAAAAUUCUGGACUAUUUUCUUUGUGUGUUUGACUUUGGACAUGGUUGGGGCGCUUUUGUGAAGAACUAACAAGGAGAGAGUCAGCGACUUGAGGGGACUGACCCAGAGUCUCUAUCUCUGUACCUGUUGGACUGACUUUUAGCUUUAUUUCUGGUCCCAUGGAGAAGAAUAUUGAUCAUGUCUAAGAACAUACAACACUAAAUCAAUGCUUUGUUAGUUCUUAGUUAGUUAGUUUGUUAGUUCUAUAGUUUCCCUAUAGAAACAGGGAGUAUUAGGGUUGGAAGAGAGUAUCCUGGCCAGCACUCCUAAUUUGGCAGUUAGGGAAAUUCAGGUUCAGAGAGGUUAGAUGGUGGCCCAAAUCUUAGGGGCAAGUUAGCAGAGGAAUUGGGAUUCCAAAUAGGACUCUGGUCUCAUCUUGUCACGUACUUCCUGUUGCAUCAAUGAAAUGAACCUACUAGCUACUGUUCUUACUGUAUCCUGGAGGAACAGAAGCAGAGACUGGCAGAGACUAAAUGAAAGGAAGCGGUGAUGUGGUCUUCUACCCAGCAUGUCACACCCCCACUCUUUUCACACUUGCACACUACUUCGCGGUGGAUGCAUUGAAGCUUCAUUUUUGAUGCACAAGCUGUCGGGCCAUCUUAGAGGGAUGGUCCUUGGCGUGUCUUAAUUAAGAUCCCUUGACGAUAAUCAAGAUAAUGUUAUUAAUAACCAUAGCUAAUAUUUUUGGAAUAAUGAUGAGACAGCUGUCUAUAAAUUGUACUUUUUAAUCCUUCAUGACAGCCAUAGGAGGCGAACACUGUGAUGAUUCCAUGGACAGGUAAGAAACCGAGGCAUAGAGAGGUGAAUAAGCUACCCAAGGUCACCCAGAGGGUAAAUAAUGAAGCUGGGAUGUGAGUUCUGUUCUGUUGUCACUGGCUUUUACCAAGGGUUCAACAUCACUACUUGCACCCAAUCAGGAGCUAAAGGGAACCUGUAGGACACCUUGGGUCCCUAAUGCCUUGUGUAAUAAUGGCCACCCCAAACACAAAUGUGAACAGAAACAUACACCCCCAUAUGCAGUAUGGCGUUAAGGGGUCCUUUACCUGCUCUGCCGUCUCUUGCUUUCUUACUGUUUUUGAAAAUGAAAAAAUCUGCACUUUUAAGAAUAACUAAAUGUAAUGUGCAAUAAUUGAUUCACUGAUAGAUUAAACAAAAAAGCAAAAAGAAAACCAUAGUUUGAAGACAUUAUUAUUAAGACAAUUAGGGAGCUUUAAAUGUGGACUGUAUAUUACCUAACACUAUAUCCAUGUUAAAUUUCCUGAGCAGGUUGUUUUGUGAUUAUAUCCCAGAUCUUAGGAGUCAGCACUUAGGGGUAAAGGGCCAUGAUAUGGAAUUUGAUCAAGUGCUCUUACUGGUAAACCUAGCAGAAGGGUAUACAGGCAUUCACUGUAUUAUUAUUUCAACUUUUCUGUACAAUUGAAUUCUCUAUAAUGAAAAAUUGAAAAAAACUCCCACUUUUUAUAGUUACCACAAAAGUAAAACAUUUUUAUUGUGUAAAAUUAAAAACUUGGUAAAGAAAAAAUUGAAGACUAUAAAUAUAUAAUCCUACAACCGAAAGCACUGGUUUUAAAAAAUCUAAACUGCUGUGCACAGAUAGAAAUAGACACUACAUCGUCAUCCUGUAAUACAUUGUGGACAUGUGCAUAUGUGACUCAAACAAAAGUUUCAUAAAAUUAUAGCUGUCUUUGCUAUGCUCACUGCCUUUUAUACGUCCGUCCAAUUUCUUUUUUCUUUUCGCCGCGCUACGCGGCAUGCAGGAUCUUAGUUCCCUGACCAGGGAUCGAACCGGUGCCCCCUGCAGUGGAAACGCGGAGUCCUAACCACUGGACCGCGAGGAAAUUCCCUCCAUUCAGUUUCUUAAAAAAAUGCUUGCUUGAUGUACAAACCCGCUAGGCACCGAUAGUUUAAAACACAUGACCUAGAAUAAGCUGCUGUUAGGCGAUAGGAGUCCUGGACCCAGGGUCGCCCUCCACAAUCUUCCACUCCCGGUUCUAUUAUUUGAGGUCUUCCUGGGCAUCCCAGGAUAAUACAGGACAGAAAACAGUCUGCUUUGCAAGAUCUUGGGGUAUUUUCCUGACUUCAUGAUGCCCAGAGGCAGUGCAUCUCCAGGUGGGCUUGGCUGCCCUCCAGUGUACCAACCUUCACAAAACCUCACGGAAACAAAGUCCCCUCCGGAUGGCAACGUCUUCCCUACCCUCCACUUCCUGCCAGUCUCACCCAAACAACCCACAUCUCUUUAUAGGUCGAUGGCACCUUGGCAGGAGACACCAGGGAAAUGAGCCGGCAUAAUCCAUUCUUCAGGUCAGAGGUGUUUGCGGCCAUGGAUCGAAUUUGGUGAUUUCCACGGGACUUGGAGAGUCAGAACUUGAAAGCUGGACCAGGGUGUUUCUCAUUUCUUAGUGUCCUGGUACUGCUCAGAGCUAUACAAAUCCUUGAAAUAUCCAGCAUCAAAAGAAGUGGACCUUGAAGCCUUCUGGUUAUGGUGACCUGAAGAAGUGGGCAAAUCCUCUUGGCCAAAAGCAGGUGUGAAACUGGACAGAUUGAUCAGAUAAGCCAUUUCAGGUCCCAGCUGCACGAUCCAUGUUUCAAAUUCCCCUUUCUUCUUCCUCCUUGCCUUCCCCCUUCUCUCUCCCUCUAACCGAACCCCUUCCUUUGACAAGUAUUUAUUGAGAGCCAGGCCAACCUGGAUGGGAAAACCAUUAAAACAUGAUCACACAAGUAAAUGUAUUAUGAACAACUGUGAUAACAGCUACGAAGGAAAACUACUUCUGAUACCCUUGAGGACCCCAGUCGAUCUCCUACUUCACAAAGAACCUGUGUUCAAGUGACAUCCUGACUUCUCAGGGAUGACUUGCUGGGAAGCCGAAGUUCUCGGGGGGCCUCUGUCAGUGAACUUCGGAGGACGCAUGUCGUGGGUAAGAGGAAACUUUGGAGAUAGACUGUUGCGCCUAUUAGCUUUGUGACCUUGGCUAAGCUUGUCCUCCUCAUCUGGGAUAAGCCUAAACUGGGAUAGUAUCAUCCACCUAAUAGAACUGUGGAGAGGAGAAAAUGAGGUAAUUCAGGGAAGUGCUCAGACAAGCGCCUAGAGUGUAGUCAGCACCCAGUAAAUGCUGGGUGGACUGGAAGUGUCUUAGAGCACAUGACCAAGGAGUGGCGUGGCAGUGGGGUGGCAGGCAGGGGACAACUUAGACAACAGCAGUGGCACUGACUUUCUCAGCAGUGCCCCUGUGAUAAGACUCUGCCUACAGACAGUGAACCAGGUGGAAUAUUCAGAGGCAGGGAGCGUGAUGGGCCCAGAGCCAAGGGAGGAAAGGCCAUCGAGAUGCUGCCGGCCAUGCUGGGCUGGGCUACGUGCUUGAAGAGCGUCGACAGGGCUUUGCACUUGGUAGGAGAUGAGGACAGAGUUAGCCUGCAGAAAGCCAGCAGUGAGGUGGUGAGACCAUGGGGGGUGAACACCUCCUGCCAGAGGAAAAUCUGGUCAAAGAAUGGUGGUCAGUAGCUUAAGGGGACAGUGGCAAUCGGGAUGGAGACAGGAGGACACAUUUCAGAUGGAGAUAGUAGGUAAUAGGAGGGUCUGUGGAGUUUGGAGACCAGGAGGUCGCCGUCAGCAUGGUUUUGCUGGUGAUACUCUAUCAGGGUUGCUGCCUGGGGUAUGUGUCGGCGGAACGGUUAGGAGUCAUUACACUGACCAUGGAGACGAAUUGAAGUUCAAGGGCGGGAGGAGGCAGCAAGACCGGGAGAACCUGGAGGGGCCAAAGUGGCCAGCAGACUUAAAGAGCAGGAGAGAGAAAGCUUUAGAGAGCUGCGGGCGGAGGGCGCUGAGGCUUUCUCAGCACAGGAGGGGGCCCUGGAGGGAGUGAGGAUUCAACCAGCUGUGUGGCCAGCACGAUGCCCACCAUGCUAGGUGUUCAGUAAGGUUGACAGUGCAAUGAAGAACCUCAGACGGGCUAGGGAACGUGCAUCUUGUUAUUCCCAUUUUGCAGAUGAUCAGAGACGCUUAGUGUUUUACGGAAGGUCACACAGCCAGACAGUGGGAGGGCCAAGACUCAAACUUGGGGCUCCAGGGUCCUGGCCUGGGACUCUUUCCUUUCAGCACAAUGCUGCCCUCUUAGGAUUUGUUGUCUGGCCCCCUGACUCAGGGCCAACCUCCUGUCCCCCUGACAGACUAUGGGAAGGCAGGAGGGUGCUGUGCAAAGGAAUUUUCAGUUCAGAUCCUACUUUUCCACUUGUAAGUUGUGUGGUCUGGGCAAACGUUUUACCUCUUUGAACCUCGUUGUCUCCUCUGUCCAGUGGGGGUGAUUCAGCCUUUACCCAGCUGUAUCUGGGCCAAUCAGCUAGAAUGUAAGCUCCGUGAGGGCCGGGCCUUUUGUCUGCUUUUUUCACUACUGGAUGUCCAGCACUGGCGCCUAGAACAGGGCCUUGAAGGAUGCAGUGCCCCAUACUUAAGGCUGUUAUUCCCAAAUAUGACCACAAGAUGGCAGCAAAGGAGAGCGGGUCCCAAGACAAGGCUGUCACAGUUCUCAGGACUCCUACACACUUCCAGACACCAGGUCUCCCUGCAUUAGGACAUGGAGGGCUCUCAUUGCUUCCUGAGCUUCCCUGACUGUGGGCCGUGCAGAUCCCUAUUACUUAGCGCCUUUGAAGUGGCCCGCUGCUGCUCAGGUGUGAAGGGACAGCACAUUCCAUGGGAUGCUUUCCGACUGUGGUCUAGCAGAGCUGUGUAAACCACAAAGAAGGGCACUGGAUUGGAUCUUGAGUCUUAAAUGGUGCCCCCUGGGGCAUUGGGGUGGGGGAUGAGGAAUCAGAGUGGGGUGUGGCUUAGAUGCCUGGAUUGGGAAUGUCUAAAGGUAUCAUCACCUAAACAACAGUUGAUGAGGAAUCUUUACACCGGCAUCUCAUUUUGAGACUGGUGUUACGGUUAUGGCUGGCGCCUUCAGGUUAUAUCUCAAAUAUUUCCUUCUUAGAGAUGUUUCCCCUCAUUGAAAGUAGCCCCCACUUUGUAUCACACUUUUUCAAAGCACUUACCGCCAUCAGAAGUAAUUUUGUCUCUAUUUUGUAAGUUGCUUUUGUGUGCCUGUGGUUCUCCACUCACCAGGAUGUUUAGGACAGUGUCAGAGGGGAUUCUAGAAGUGGAGCUAUGCCUGGCAUACAGGCGAGCGCUCAGACAAGAACUGAUGAACGUGGAACAAAUUGCACCCCCUGUGUAGCUGCCCCUCUCAUGACAUCCUGAACUUUUCCUAUGAUGCAUGGAUCACACAGUUUUUGGGGGAUUUGUCUCUUGUUCUGCUCCCCAGGGGUUGCAAGCUCAAGGAGGGAAGGACCACAUCCCACAUUCAGUGCCCUGUCCCUGGUGUCUUGCACAGUCCCUGGCACCUGAGGUGACCAGAAAACAUUUAGUGGUGGCUUUCUACCCAGGAUCACAUUGAAUUGACACGCCAGCCUCGUGAGGGACAGAUACCUACGCCCUUUCUACGUGUCGGGGAGACCGAGGCUCAGAGAGAUGAAAUAACUGUCCCACCAGGCAUUGCAGCUUAGAAGAGGUGGAGGCAGCCUUUGAACUUGGAACUCUACUACCUCCGAAUGCAGACAUGACCUGAGAAGGAGAAUUUUGACUUCUGCUGCUCGUUCUCUCUCUCUUCUUAGUUCUUUUUACUGAGUCUCUUAACCUCACCUCAAUCCUCUUAUCUGCAAUCGGCUUCCAGAGAGGAUUCAGAUCACCUUGUCUCGCAGGCAGCUGCAUCAAGAUCCCCACAGUCCCUGUAACUGGUGGUUAUACGGGUACUUGAAAUAGCCUCCCUCUGCUGCCUGCUCUCUCUCCGUCUGCUUGUUCUGGGCUCUGCAGAAGUGCUCAGCAGUGCCGGUGCCCAGUUUCUGCAGGGCUGGAUUCUGCCGUACAUGCUGUAAAAAGGCGAGGGCUCUUCCCCAGGCUUUCCUGUUCCCUGCUGAUCACCCGCCUCCUCUCCUCCAGGAGCUUAGCCUUGGGUGGCAAAUCCCGGCCUCCCUUCCUGCACUGGAUUUGAGGCUAAUGGCAUUUCCUCUGCCGGCUUUGGAGGUAUGCCCGGCGGCCCCCAUGCUGCUCUCUGCAGCCUGCCUGCUCUGCCCUCACUGCAACAGACGGAGAAAAUAAAUGAAAAUGAGGUGAGUGGGGAGGAAACCUAGUGAGCGGGAGAGGGACUGGAAUCCAAGACGGAGGCUUGAGCUAAAUGGAGCUGUGGGAUCUUUAAGCCACAAAGAAGACCAACAGCAAAGCAAAGGGUAACGGACCAGGGGCCAUCUUUGAAAUCCAAGAUUUUAUCUAAAGGCAGUGGCGGCUGUGGGUUCUGAAGGAGUGAAACGGAGCAGGACCCUGUGGGGCUCCUGGGAAAUAGGCUUCACUCAGCCUCCACGACCUUCCCUGAGUUCCAACUAGCAGGUUCAAACCUUGUAAUCAGGGAAGGGAGGGGAUGCAGAGACAAGGGAGGAACAGUCAAGAAACAAUAGUGCAGCCUUGGGGCAGGGUCCUGGUUCCCCCUCAAGGAUACACACAACAACACCUUUGAGCUGUUUUGCAGAUACUGAAACCCUCACCAGGUGGGAGAAGUUAACUGUGUGCUGCCCACAAGCACGCAGACCCCAGACUGGGUGGAACCGGAAGGUUGAUGAUGCCGACUCCCACUUACCUCCCCACCAACCAAUCAGAAGAGUGUCCACGAGCUGAUCACGCCCUCUUUGAACCAUUACCGUAAAACUUCUCACUACCCCCUCCAGGUCCCGACGCACAGUUUUGAGGGCAUUAGCCCACUGUGGCCGCCUUUUCCUGGCAAAGCUGUUAGGGGAAGAACACUGACUGAAACCACCCGCCCUGGCCAGGCACCACAGUAACCACUUGCAUGAGUUAUCUUACAAUAGGAGGUCCUGGUAAGGAACAUGGAACUAACAAGCCACCACCAACCAGAAGAAUUCGGGAAAAGUCAAAAGGAGACACCAGUCCACAUGUACUACCAACCUCCCAGCAUCCUCCUCGCUGGAAUCCAUCUUGGGUGAGCAAUGCACGUGCCACCAGAAAGGACCCUCAAUCAGAAUGGUUGGCCAGAGACAACCCGUAAACUCACCCGGUCACCAUAAAACCCGAGACUGUGAGCCACGUGGCAGAGCCGUCCUCCUGGCAUCCCUCACCCUCCUGCUCUACCCCCAGGCGCCCCUUCCCAAUAAAGUCUCUUGCUCUGUCAGC
Long non-coding RNA from Orcinus orca (killer whale), 12585 nucleotides. RefSeq lists it as uncharacterized. Lineage: Eukaryota; Metazoa; Chordata; Mammalia; Artiodactyla; Delphinidae. The transcript has 7 exons. The record is from RefSeq and is a predicted model, not a curated record.